This 100-nucleotide small RNA is filed under the name Mycobacterium tuberculosis H37Rv. Its description in RNAcentral is "Putative small regulatory RNA". RNAcentral also lists the same sequence under 3 other names. Lineage: Bacteria; Bacillati; Actinomycetota; Actinomycetes; Mycobacteriales; Mycobacteriaceae. The record is from RNAcentral.
AGCACACGCCAUCCACCGUUGCACGUCUGCACCGCAAACGGCAGCCACUAGUGCCCCAGCUGCCACGUAGGUCACGAGUAGCGGUGGGCGGUUUGUGCCC